Molecule: long non-coding RNA, 367 nt
Filed under: Capsella rubella
Lineage: Eukaryota; Viridiplantae; Streptophyta; Magnoliopsida; Brassicales; Brassicaceae
Description: long non-coding RNA (CRUB_LNC003581)
Source: RNAcentral
UUCUUUCACCAUCAUCCUCAUAGCUUAUUGUUGUACCAGUACACACCUUUCUUGUCACCUUCCCUGUCCGGUUCUACAUAGAUACACUCCUUUGCCUCCCUAUACAUCGCCACAUACCACGGUGUUCCAUCAAACUGGUAAUAGUCUCCGAGUAUAGGCUUUAUCGCCUUUGUAGCUUCCAUCGCGUUGUAAUGAGGCAUUGUCGAGAACAGAUGAUGAGCCACAUGUGUGUCCGUGAUGUUGUGGAACACCUUGUUCAAGAUUCCAUAGUCUCUGUCUACGGUAGCCAAAGCUCCCCUAAGCCAAUCCCACUCGGAUGAAUCGUAGUGAGGCAACGCAGGAUGAGUGUGCUGCAAGUAUGUGAUCA